This 435-nucleotide ribosomal RNA is filed under the name uncultured Oscillospiraceae bacterium. Its description in RNAcentral is "bacterial SSU rRNA". It matches the Rfam family "Bacterial small subunit ribosomal RNA", at positions 341 to 792 of the family's 1533-position model. Lineage: Bacteria; Bacillati; Bacillota; Clostridia; Eubacteriales; Oscillospiraceae. The record is from RNAcentral.
ACGGAAGGCAGCAGUCGGGAAUAUUGCGCAAUGGAGGAAACUCUGACGCAGUGACGCCGCGUAUAGGAAGAAGGUUUUCGGAUUGUAAACUAUUGUCGUUAGGGAAGAUAAAAGACAGUACCUAAGGAGGAAGCCCCGGCUAACUAUGUGCCAGCAGCCGCGGUAAUACAUAGGGGGCGAGCGUUAUCCGGAAUUAUUGGGUGUAAAGGGUGCGUAGACGGGAAAGCAAGUUAGUUGUGAAAUCCCUCGGCUUAACUGAGGAACUGCAACUAAAACUACUAUUCUUGAGUGUCGGAGGGGAAAGUGGAAUUCCUAGUGUAGCGGUGAAAUGCGUAGAUAUUAGGAGGAACACCAGUGGCGAAGGCGGCUUGCUGGACGACAACUGACGCUGAGGCGCGAAAGCGUGGGGAGCAAACAGGAUUAGAUACCCUGGUA